Molecule: long non-coding RNA, 228 nt
Organism: Archocentrus centrarchus (flier cichlid)
Lineage: Eukaryota; Metazoa; Chordata; Actinopteri; Cichliformes; Cichlidae
Exons: 3
Source: RefSeq, a predicted model, not a curated record
CCCCUCCGGGUGUCAGCCUUAGAUGGAUCUCGACUGCCGGAGAUGACAUUUUGAUCUUCUCUACCUCCCUGUCGGAACACGAGAAUCAUGUCCGCUUGGUGCUCCAACGCCUGCUUGAGAAUCGAUUAUUCGUGAAAAGAGAGAAGUUGGAGCAGUACCGCUCAACAGGCUUUCACCACUCUCAAAGACCUAUUUGCCUCCACACCGGUGUUGAUCCAGCCCGACAUC